GUAACAAGCAUGGCAGUCCCACGUUUUUCUGCAUGGAUUUGGCUUGCCAAGACAUCUGCUUUUAUUAGCAGCAGUUGAUCUCCCUGUAACGAGGAAUUAUGUUCAGCUAAUUACAAAGAACUGUUCCGGCUGCAUUACCUGUUCACUCACACUGACAACGCAGGCCUUCCAAAGCUAACAAUGGUGCCUCCAACCCCCCUACUUAAAUCAAGUGUCAAACAGGUAACAAAACCACAUCAUUUUUUCACAUCCAUUUGUUUUUAUUACAAAGACAAAAAUCCAUGGAGAGAUAGAAGUUAAGAACCAGUCACAGAAGUUGUAGUCAUUAAUGACAGUACUAAGUAUUACAGAGUUGCUAUUAAAUGUACCUACCUGCUUUAUAAACUGUGCAGCAUUGAAAAGUUCACUGCAGCCGUAGAGGACGUGUUUGCCUUGUUUACCCUGAGGAAAAGAUGAGAAGAAAUUAGCUGUGUAACAGAGUAGCAAAAAUGGCUUCAACUAAUGGCACACCAAAAAGUGUAUUUCUCCAUGAUCUCUAAGUCCUGCAGUUCUGGCUGUGUUUGAGCAAGGAAGUUUCAUCAUUUACUCCUAUAUGGCAAUAACAUUUGAAAGAACUUACUUUAAAAAACAUCUGGAACAAUAUGAUGUUGGAUGUAGUUGGAUUUAAUGAUCCCAGCACGCAGUGAACAGUUUGAUAGUGCUUUUCUGACAAUGCAGCAUCGCACAGGUGAAAAAAUGGUGUAAGUAACACAUAGUUUUAGACUGAGUUUAUGCCCAGCAUUGGUUAAUAAUCCCACAGCUCCUCAAUCUGUCUCACUAUUGAAUUACUUUGUGCUUUCCCUUUCUAGUCAGAGUGGAUUCUUUUUGUUUGCUUUUUGUCACUGAUGUGAUUUUAAAACAACCACCACCACCAGAACACACCUUACCAGCUCUAUGUGAGAGAUAAAUGGUAGCUGUCAGGGAACUGGCAGGACAAAACCAGAAUAGAGGACUCACUCUCACUUUUUCUCUGAUACCAAAUUACAAGUUGCUUAAAAAAAGGCAAAAAAGGAACACGAGCCUCCUCAAAAUGAUUCUGUUUCAUAGCUGUUAACAGCUGUGCUGUUUCAGCAGACAGGCACAGAACUGGAUUUUAACAGUCUGUGGCUGGUGGGCACAUGCAAAUUUGGGAGAUGGAAAUCCUGCUUUGUCUCCUCAUCUUUAUUAAUUUGGAGUGGUUUGUGACAAGAAGCUGCUCUUAUCACUGAGCAGAGGCUUGAGCUUGGUUCUCCCCACCUUUCAGCCACGGCAUUUAAUCCAGAGGCCUGAGCAGGUCUGGUUUUGAUCUCAACUGGAAUCUUAACACUCUAUUUUCUGUAAUACGAAUAGAUAGCACUUACUGCUGCACAGAACAUAAACAAACACUAGAGAUAAUUAUAAAGUGAGACUGUUGCCUUUUUAGGCUGCAAAAUACACACUCCUGUACAAUCCCCAUCUUAAACAAAUUCUUCUAAAAGUAUAGUUUUAAAUGAAAGCAUACACCUACUCCAAGCUGAUUACUCAGCACACCUGAAGUGAUGUAUCGCCCAGAAGUUAGCAGAGCCAGGCUGAAAAUGCUUAGCUAUAUAAAUAAUGCAACAGCAGCACUCUUUUAAGUUGUUUUGUUUUUAAAAGCUGUACAGAACUUGAUUUUCUUGUGCUAACUUGUAACGCGUAGCAGAGGCAGGCUGUCAGGCAGUACCUUUUCAACAAUAUAUGAAAGGAAAUGGAAGGACAAGCUAAAUUUCUGUACUUUGAGAUUUUGGUGACACACUUUCUGCGCACUGUUAGCUGAUGUAUCUGUUCCAAGGCACAACAUUCCUGACUAUGAACAACAUUUGAUCUAUCAUGAAGUGAUCCUGGCACAGAACUGGAAAUAACUGGGUUUGAGGGUUCAGUCUCCUACAAAAGCCCCCAAAACGCCUGAUCUGAGCACUGCUUCCUGCUUCACAAAGUUUGCACAGAUUUUCUGUUUUCAGAAGCAAACUGGUAAAAACACACUGUGCUUAAAAAAAUAAAGCUGUGAAUAAAAUCUUUGUUGUAUCCGCUUGCGAGAACAGACCUGUUGGGUUUUUUCCUUCUUUUCAUUCUGAAGGAAAACUGAUUCAAUUUUAGAAUAAUUAAUAAGCUACAUCUGGUGAGACAACAGAUGCUGGCAGUGUACGCACCACAUGCGUGGAAGUGAGCCAGACUGCACUGGCUAAGCCUGGAAGAGCCACCUGGGAAGAGGGUGAGGGGAAUGAAGUUUUCCAUAACUUCUCUUGCUUUUCAGAAGCAAGGCGCUAUCUAAGUAAAGGUGGGGGAGACUUCCCUCUCAGAAGGUAACAUCCUACUGCUGAAAUAGCCUCCCUGGAGAACUGUAUAACAUGUUUCUGCUUUAACCAUUAAUGAAGAAGAAACCACUUUCCAGUGAUUACAGAACAACAGCAAGGAAGCUGCGUUUCUAAUCUGUUUGUGUCUCUAAAAGUUUUGAUUCCUUUUGUCCUCUCCUUGUAUCCCUUCAGCUUCAUUUCUCCUCUUCCCAAUUCUGACCAGCUCUGUUCCAAAACGGCUGCCUGCUAGAGGAGAAAACAGCCCCAUGCAGUUCUGACUUCAUGUUCUGCAAGAUAUACUGGAAUAUGAACAUAAACCCAUCAGUUGCUCGGUACGUGGAGAAAUACCUUCCUUUCUAAUGUUGCAUGUGUAUUGUUUUCAGGGAAAAGCCUUGAUCCCGAUAGACAACAUGCAUAGCAAGGUAUAAUCUAGAAGAAAGAAGAGCAUUUUGCUGCUCUUACCUAAUUUAAAACUUCAUCCAAGUUCCCUUUGUUUCCUUUUUACACCUGGAAGGUGCUUCUACAUCAUCUCUGCCCCAGAAGGAAUUCUAAAGAUUUGGUUACUUCUUUUUCAGCUGCUGCUUUUUGGUGUAUGUACAUUUCAUUUAGGCUGGCAAGGCGGAAUCAGAGACUUUAGAUCCCUUACACCACCACUAAUUACAUAGCUGGUCCCAUAUUCUUUGUUCACUGUAUGAUUUCUACACAGAAUCAAAUGAUCCAGCAUGCUGAGAAUGAACCGCCUGUAACUCACAAGUAAAAACUUCUAAACACAGGCAAUAAGCACUAAGAGAUUGAUGCCAAUGUGAUCUUUGCUUUGGUAGGUGGCAUAGUGCUUGCAUUCAGAAAUGCAACAGGAACAAAAAUGCCAGAUAUAAUAACUGGCAAUCUAAAAUAAUCAUCCAUUUUCUACACAAUUUUUAGGUACUUUUUUUCCCCUGCAUUAUAUGUAUAAUACCAAUGUAAAAGCUAAUUUCUUAAGAUUUCAUCUUCCAAAUACUAGAUGUUACAGAAAGCCUGCUAAAGCUCAUUUAUAUCAGUAAGUUAGGAACUACAGUCAACAGAAGCAUACAUACCUUUAUGUAGUCAAUAAGAUUUUGAUAUUCAAUAUAGUUGCCUCCACCAACUACGAAGACUAUUGCCUAAAAAACAACAUGAACAUAAUCAGAACAUGCAACCAAAUUCUUCAUUCUGCACCAGUGAAGUAUAUAUACCACAUCAAUACAUAUAACAAAACUAUCUUUGUCAUGCUUCAGCUAGUGAGAACCCAGCACAGACCAACUAGCUCCCUACCUGCCAGAAAA
This is a non-coding RNA of Coturnix japonica (Japanese quail), 3631 nucleotides long. The record is from RefSeq and is a predicted model, not a curated record. NCBI's taxonomy places the organism in Eukaryota, Metazoa, Chordata, Aves, Galliformes, Phasianidae.